Molecule: long non-coding RNA, 416 nt
Filed under: Homo sapiens (human)
Lineage: Eukaryota; Metazoa; Chordata; Mammalia; Primates; Hominidae
Description: non-protein coding lnc-TCAF2C-4:1
Source: RNAcentral
AGUUCAAUCCCUUUGUGACUUCUGAUCGAAGCAAGUACCACAAAAGGCAUUUCAAUGCACUUUCCCACAUUCUCAGAAAUAUUAGGUCUUCCUCUCUUUGCAAAGAGCUGAGACAGAAGUACAAUGUUCAAUCCAUGACCAUCCGAAAGGAUGAUGAAGUUCAGGUUGUACACAGGCACUACAAAGGUCAGCAAAUUGGCAAAGUAGUCCAGGUUUACAGGAAGAAAUAUGUCACCUACAUUGCACAGGUGCAGCAGGAAAAGGCUAAUGGCACAACUGUCCACAUAGGCAUUCACCCCAGCAAGGUGGUUAGCACUAGGCUAAAACUGGACAAAGACUGCAAAAAGAUUCUUGAACGGAAAGCCAAAUCUUAGCAAGUAGGAAGGGAAAGGGGCAAAUACAAGGAAGAAACAAUU